RNAcentral lists this ribosomal RNA (1343 nucleotides) under uncultured bacterium. RNAcentral describes it as "bacterial SSU rRNA". It matches the Rfam family "Bacterial small subunit ribosomal RNA", at positions 28 to 1381 of the family's 1533-position model. The record is from RNAcentral.
GAUGAACGCUGGCGGCGUGCUUAACACAUGCAAGUCGAACGGAAAGGCUCCUGCUUGCAGGGGUACUCGAGUGGCGAACGGGUGAGUAACACGUGGGUGAUCUGCCCUGCACUUCGGGAUAAGCCUGGGAAACUGGGUCUAAUACCGGAUAGGACGAUGGUUUGGAUGCCAUUGUGGAAAGUUUUUCGGUGUGGGAUGAGCUCGCGGCCUAUCAGCUUGUUGGUGGGGUAAUGGCCUACCAAGGCGUCGACGGGUAGCCGGCCUGAGAGGGUGUACGGCCACAUUGGGACUGAGAUACGGCCCAGACUCCUACGGGAGGCAGCAGUGGGGAAUAUUGCACAAUGGGCGCAAGCCUGAUGCAGCGACGCCGCGUGGGGGAUGACGGCCUUCGGGUUGUAAACUCCUUUCCCUAGGGACGAAGCGCAAGUGACGGUACCUGGAGAAGAAGCACCGGCUAACUACGUGCCAGCAGCCGCGGUAAUACGUAGGGUGCGAGCGUUGUCCGGAAUUACUGGGCGUAAAGAGCUCGUAGGUGGUUUGUCGCGUCGUUUGUGUAAGCCCGCAGCUUAACUGCGGGACUGCAGGCGAUACGGGCAUAACUUGAGUGCUGUAGGGGAGACUGGAAUUCCUGGUGUAGCGGUGGAAUGCGCAGAUAUCAGGGGGAACACCGAUGGCGAAGGCAGGUCUCUGGGCAGUAACUGACGCUGAGGAGCGAAAGCAUGGGUAGCGAACAGGAUUAGAUACCCUGGUAGUCCAUGCCGUAAACGGUGGGCGCUAGGUGUGAGUCCCUUCCACGGGGUUCGUGCCGUAGCUAACGCAUUAAGCGCCCCGCCUGGGGAGUACGGCCGCAAGGCUAAAACUCAAAGGAAUUGACGGGGGCCCGCACAAGCGGCGGAGCAUGUGGAUUAAUUCGAUGCAACGCGAAGAACCUUACCUGGGCUUGACAUACACCAGAUCGCUGCAGAGAUGUAGUUUCCCUUUGUGGUUGGUGUACAGGUGGUGCAUGGUUGUCGUCAGCUCGUGUCGUGAGAUGUUGGGUUAAGUCCCGCAACGAGCGCAACCCUUGUCUUAUGUUGCCAGCACGUUAUGGUGGGGACUCGUGAGAGACUGCCGGGGUUAACUCGGAGGAAGGUGGGGAUGACGUCAAAUCAUCAUGCCCCUUAUGUCCAGGGCUUCACACAUGCUACAAUGGUCGGUACAACGCGUCUGCGAGCCUGUGAGGGUGAGCUAAUCGCUGUAAAGCCGGUCGUAGUUCGGAUUGGGGUCUGCAACUCGACCCCAUGAAGUCGGAGUCGCUAGUAAUCGCAGAUCAGCAACGCUGCGGUGAAUACGUUCCCGGGCCU